CCUACGGGGAGCAGCAGUGGGGAAUAUUGGACAAUGGGCGAAAGCCUGAUCCAGCCAUGCCGCGUGUGUGAAGAAGGCCUUCGGGUUGUAAAGCACUUUCAGUGGGGAAGAAAGCCUUGGGGCUAAUACCCUCGAGGAAGGACAUCACCCACAGAAGAAGCACCGGCUAACUCCGUGCCAGCAGCCGCGGUAAUACGGAGGGUGCGAGCGUUAAUCGGAAUUACUGGGCGUAAAGCGCGCGUAGGCGGUCUGAUAAGCCGGUUGUGAAAGCCCCGGGCUCAACCUGGGAACGGCAUCCGGAACUGUCAGGCUAGAGUGCAGGAGAGGAAGGUAGAAUUCCCGGUGUAGCGGUGAAAUGCGUAGAGAUCGGGAGGAAUACCAGUGGCGAAGGCGGCCUUCUGGACUGACACUGACGCUGAGGUGCGAAAGCGUGGGUAGCAAACAGGAUUAGAUACCCCGGUAGUC
RNAcentral lists this ribosomal RNA (465 nucleotides) under Vreelandella stevensii. RNAcentral's name for it is "partial 16S ribosomal RNA". It matches the Rfam family "Bacterial small subunit ribosomal RNA", at positions 338 to 795 of the family's 1533-position model. The record is from RNAcentral. Lineage: Bacteria; Pseudomonadati; Pseudomonadota; Gammaproteobacteria; Oceanospirillales; Halomonadaceae.